Molecule: transfer RNA, 89 nt
Filed under: Pseudoscardovia suis
Lineage: Bacteria; Bacillati; Actinomycetota; Actinomycetes; Bifidobacteriales; Bifidobacteriaceae
Description: Bifidobacterium sp. DPTE4 tRNA
Rfam family: tRNA
About the family: Transfer RNA (tRNA) molecules are approximately 80 nucleotides in length. Their secondary structure includes four short double-helical elements and three loops (D, anti-codon, and T loops).
Source: Rfam by way of RNAcentral
GGAGACGUGCCUGAGUGGUCGAUAGGGGCACCCUGCUAAGGUGUUAAUCACGUUUUUGUGGUUCGAGGGUCCGAAUCCCUCCGUCUCCG